GACGAACGCUGGCGGCGUGCUUAACACAUGCAAGUCGAGCGGUAAGGCCCUUUCGGGGGUACGACGAGCGGCGAACGGGUGAGUAACACGUGGGUGACCUGCCCUCAGCUCUGGGAUAAGCCUGGGAAACCGGGUCUAAUACUGGAUAUGACUCCAUGACGCAUGUUGUGGGGUGGAAAGCCUUGUGCGGCUGAGGAUGGGCCCGCGGCCUAUCAGCUUGUUGGUGGGGUGAUGGCCUACCAAGGCGACGACGGGUAGCCGGCCUGAGAGGACGACCAGCCACACCGGAACUGAGACACGGUCCGGACUCCUACGGGAGGCAGCAGUGGGGAAUAUUGGACAAUGGGGGCAACUCUGAUCCAGCGACGCCGCGUGGGUGAAGAAGGCCUGCGGGUUGUAAAGCCCUUUCGGUGGGGAAGAAAAGUCUCGACCUAAUACGUCGGGACCUUGACGUAACCACUAAGAAGCACCGGCUAACUCUGUGCCAGCAG
This 491-nucleotide ribosomal RNA is filed under the name uncultured bacterium. Its description in RNAcentral is "bacterial SSU rRNA". It matches the Rfam family "Bacterial small subunit ribosomal RNA", at positions 28 to 514 of the family's 1533-position model. The record is from RNAcentral.